Portunus trituberculatus (swimming crab) is the source of this 429-nucleotide long non-coding RNA. RefSeq lists it as uncharacterized. The record is from RefSeq and is a predicted model, not a curated record. NCBI's taxonomy places the organism in Eukaryota, Metazoa, Arthropoda, Malacostraca, Decapoda, Portunidae. The transcript has 2 exons.
GUUGGAGAGGAGCGGCAGGGAGAGGAUGGGCGCCGUGAUCCUGAAGGCUGUGAGUGUUGCCAUGUUGGGAGCGUUGGGCAGGCUGGACUUGUGCAUCGCUACUAGUCACCACUCACUACACACGCCACAGUUACCAGGUCAGCAGGUCACACAAUGGUAGUUAUGGUUUAGUACUUUUUUUUCUUUUUUUAACUCUGUGGGAAUUUUGUGGUGAAGAGUGUUUUUCAUUCCUUUUCUGUAGCCAAAAUUUCAACUUUUUUUAUUUACUCUUUUUUUAUCAGCGUUUUUUUCUUUCUUCCAGUCGGGAAGUGAUUGGGAAUACUCGUACUAUGUGUGUGUGUGUGUGUGUGUGUGUGUGUGUGUGUGUGUGUGUGUGUGUGUGUGUGUGUGUGUGUGUGUGUGUGUGUGUGUGUCUUUUUCUUAUUAUUA